CGCAUAUCUAUAUAAAUCUUACAUUUACACAUUAAUAAAAACACUCUCAUAUAAAUUAUUCUAUUACACAAAAUUUUCAAGUACUGAAAAGGAAUAACAUAUACUUUUAAGUAGUGUAAAUUCACGUACCUUGUGCAUUAUGGUUUUACAAGCUCAACAAUUAAUAAUUUACUCCCGAAACCUACGCGAGCUGUCUCCAUAUAGUUAAGAACCCACCAAUAGUUAUAGCAUCAACUUUGGAAAAUAUCCUGACAGAGGCUACAUACCAACCGCGCUAGAUAAUUGCUGGUUUUCAGUAAAUAUUAUAAAUUAAAACAUGUAAAGCUCUACAAUGUUAAAUUACAGAGGAUAAGCCCUGUAAUUAAUAGCUAAAAAACCUAUAAUUUUAAUAUAUAGGCCUAAAAUCAGCCACCUUCAAUACGUCACUGUAAACUAUAUUUUAUAUAUUUAAUACCUGCCACCAUAACCUGAAAUAUAAGAUUAACUUCUAAUCUUUUUAUAUUAUGUAAAAAUAAGUAUUUGUAAACACUAACUUUUAUAAUUCAAAACUAAUUAUUCUAUUAACCAACCAAAUGCUUAUAAAGGAACUCGGCAAAUCUUAUUUCGACUGUUUAACAAAAACAUUGCUUCCUGAACUCUUAUAGGAAGUAAUUCCUGCCCAGUGAAUUAUUUCAACGGCCGCGGUAUCCUAACCGUGCAAAGGUAGCAUAAUCACUUGCCCAUUAAUUGUGGGCUAGAAUGAAAGGAUUAACGAAAUAAAGACUGUCUCUAUAAGCCACCUAAAAAUUAAUCUCUAACUGAAGAGUGUUAGAUCAAAUCGAAGGACAAGAAGACCCUAUAGAGCUUUAUUUUAACAAAAUUUUUUUAUUUUUCUAAGAUUCGGUUGGGGCGACCCGGGAAAAUAAUAAACCUCCCUCCCUAAUAGAUUAAUAAAUCACACCUUCGACCCUUAAUAAAGAUCAUAAAACCAAGCUACCUUAGGGAUAACAGGCUAAUUCCACUAAAAAGUCCUUAUUAAUAGUGGGGAUUGGCACCUCGAUGUUGGCUUAGGGAAUCUAUACGGCGCAAAAGUCGUAUAAGAUGGUUUGUUCAACCAAUAAUACCCUACAUGAGCUGAGUUCAGACCGGCGUAAGCCAGGUUAGUUUCUAUCCUCGAUAAUAACUUCUAUUUAUAGUACGAAAGGACCUAAAUAGGGUAAUAUUUACAUAAUAAGAACACAUAUAAAUUUAAAAUUAAAAAUCAAUAACU
This 1249-nucleotide ribosomal RNA is filed under the name Eisenia nordenskioldi pallida. RNAcentral describes it as "16S ribosomal RNA". It matches the Rfam family "Bacterial large subunit ribosomal RNA", at positions 555 to 2813 of the family's 2925-position model. The record is from RNAcentral. Lineage: Eukaryota; Metazoa; Annelida; Clitellata; Crassiclitellata; Lumbricidae.